RNAcentral lists this ribosomal RNA (404 nucleotides) under Verrucomicrobiota bacterium. Its description in RNAcentral is "Verrucomicrobia bacterium partial 16S ribosomal RNA". It matches the Rfam family "Bacterial small subunit ribosomal RNA", at positions 355 to 776 of the family's 1533-position model. Lineage: Bacteria; Pseudomonadati; Verrucomicrobiota. The record is from RNAcentral.
UGGGGAAUAUUGGACAAUGGGCGCAAGCCUGAUCCAGCCAUGCCGCGUGAGUGAUGAAGGCCCUAGGGUUGUAAAGCUCUUUCACCGGUGAAGAUAAUGACGGUAACCGGAGAAGAAGCCCCGGCUAACUUCGUGCCAGCAGCCGCGGUAAUACGGAGGGUGCGAGCGUUAUCCGGAAUUAUUGGGUUUAAAGGGUGCGUAGGUUGCAAGGGAAGUCAGGGGUGAAAAGCUAUAGCUCAACUAUGGUCUUGCCUUUGAAACUCUCUAGCUAGAGUGUACUGGAGGUACGUGGAACGUGUGGUGUAGCGGUGAAAUGCAUAGAUAUCACACAGAACUCCGAUUGCGCAGGCAGCGUACUACAUUACAACUGACACUGAAGAACGAAAGCGUGGGUAUCAAACAGG